GAUGAACGCUGGCGGCGUGCCUAAUACAUGCAAGUCGAGCGAAUGGAUUAAGAGCUUGCUCUUAUGAAGUUAGCGGCGGACGGGUGAGUAACACGUGGGUAACCUGCCCAUAAGACUGGGAUAACUCCGGGAACCCGGGGCUAAUACCGGAUAACAUUUUGAACAUCAUGGCUCGAAAUUCAAAGGCGGCUUCGGCUGUCACUUAUGGAUGGACCCGCGUGUCAUUAGCUAGUUGGUGAGGUAACGGCUCACCAAGGCAACGAUGCGGAGCCGGCCUGAGAGGGUGAUCGGCCAAACUGGGACUGAGACACGGCCCAGACUCCUACGGGAGGCAGCAGUAGGGAAUCUUCCGCAAUGGACGAAAGCCUGACGGAGCAACGCCGCGUGAGUGAUGAAGGCUUUCGGGUCGUAAAACUCUGUUGUUAGGGAAGAACAAGUGCUAGUUGAAUAAGCUGGCACCUUGACGGUACCUAACCAGAAAGCCACGGCUAACUACGUGCCAGCCGCCGCAGUAA
Molecule: ribosomal RNA, 515 nt
Filed under: uncultured bacterium
Lineage: Bacteria
Description: partial 16S ribosomal RNA
Rfam family: Bacterial small subunit ribosomal RNA
Source: RNAcentral